GGGACACGUGGUAUCCUGUCUGAAUAUGGGGGGACCAUCCUCCAAGGCUAAAUACUCCUGACUGACCGAUAGUGAACCAGUACCGUGAGGGAAAGGCGAAAAGAACCCCGGCGAGGGGAGUGAAAAAGAACCUGAAACCGUGUACGUACAAGCAGUGGGAGCACGCUUAGGCGUGUGACUGCGUACCUUUUGUAUAAUGGGUCAGCGACUUAUAUUCUGUAGCAAGGUUAACCGAAUAGGGGAGCCGAAGGGAAACCGAGUCUUAACUGGGCGUUAAGUUGCAGGGUAUAGACCCGAAACCCGGUGAUCUAGCCAUGGGCAGGUUGAAGGUUGGGUAACACUAACUGGAGGACCGAACCGACUAAUGUUGAAAAAUUAGCGGAUGACUUGUGGCUGGGGGUGAAAGGCCAAUCAAACCGGGAGAUAGCUGGUUCUCCCCGAAAGCUAUUUAGGUAGCGCCUCGUGAAUUCAUCUCCGGGGGUAGAGCACUGUUUCGGCAAGGGGGUCAUCCCGACUUACCAACCCGAUGCAAACUGCGAAUACCGGAGAAUGUUAUCACGGGAGACACACGGCGGGUGCUAACGUCCGUCGUGAAGAGGGAAACAACCCAGACCGCCAGCUAAGGUCCCAAAGUCAUGGUUAAGUGGGAAACGAUGUGGGAAGGCCCAGACAGCCAGGAUGUUGGCUUAGAAGCAGCCAUCAUUUAAAGAAAGCGUAAUAGCUCACUGGUCGAGUCGGCCUGCGCGGAAGAUGUAACGGGGCUAAACCAUGCACCGAAGCUGCGGCAGCGACGCUUAUGCGUUGUUGGGUAGGGGAGCGUUCUGUAAGCCUGUGAAGGUGUACUGUGAGGUAUGCUGGAGGUAUCAGAAGUGCGAAUGCUGACAUAAGUAACGAUAAAGCGGGUGAAAAGCCCGCUCGCCGGAAGACCAAGGGUUCCUGUCCAACGUUAAUCGGGGCAGGGUGAGUCGACCCCUAAGGCGAGGCCGAAAGGCGUAGUCGAUGGGAAACAGGUUAAUAUUCCUGUACUUGGUGUUACUGCGAAGGGGGGACGGAGAAGGCUAUGUUGGCCGGGCGACGGUUGUCCCGGUUUAAGCGUGUAGGCUGGUUUUCCAGGCAAAUCCGGAAAAUCAAGGCUGAGGCGUGAUGACGAGGCACUACGGUGCUGAAGCAACAAAUGCCCUGCUUCCAGGAAAAGCCUCUAAGCAUCAGGUAACAUCAAAUCGUACCCCAAACCGACACAGGUGGUCAGGUAGAGAAUACCAAGGCGCUUGAGAGAACUCGGGUGAAGGAACUAGGCAAAAUGGUGCCGUAACUUCGGGAGAAGGCACGCUGAUAUGUAGGUGAAGUCCCUCGCGGAUGGAGCUGAAAUCAGUCGAAGAUACCAGCUGGCUGCAACUGUUUAUUAAAAACACAGCACUGUGCAAACACGAAAGUGGACGUAUACGGUGUGACGCCUGCCCGGUGC
Molecule: ribosomal RNA, 1465 nt
Filed under: Escherichia coli
Lineage: Bacteria; Pseudomonadati; Pseudomonadota; Gammaproteobacteria; Enterobacterales; Enterobacteriaceae
Description: partial 23S ribosomal RNA
Rfam family: Bacterial large subunit ribosomal RNA
Source: RNAcentral